RNAcentral lists this ribosomal RNA (220 nucleotides) under uncultured bacterium. Its description in RNAcentral is "partial 16S ribosomal RNA". It matches the Rfam family "Bacterial small subunit ribosomal RNA", at positions 328 to 539 of the family's 1533-position model. The record is from RNAcentral.
ACGCUCGACACCUACGGGAGGCAGCAGUGAGGAAUAUUGGUCAAUGGACGCAAGUCUGAACCAGCCAUGCCGCGUGCAGGAUGACGGCUCUAUGAGUUGUAAACUGCUUUUGUACGAGGGUAAACGCAGAUACGUGUAUCUGUCUGAAAGUNUCGUACGAAUAAGGAUCGGCUAACUCCGUGCCAACAGCCGCGGUAAUCUGAGGCCGGGCUGGCAAGGC